UUACCUAAGUAAAUGAGUUAUUACUAAUAACACUUACGUGUCUUUUGGUAAUUACUUAUACAUCUACGUGCAUAUUCAGAUCAUUACGUGUCUAUUUGUUUCUCCGAUGUUCUCGAGACUAUCUGUGAAUGCUGUUGCUCUCAAGGGCGUUGUAUCCUAAGUGUUAAGGUUAUUAUGUAUGAUGGACACCUUCACUCGUUGAUAUGUAGUUUCCUUAGGUUGUUGGAGGGAUUGCAGGAGGGAAGCUACAGAGUGAAUUGGAUAAUGAAGCUUAUUUGGAUGAGAAUCGCAGGCCUUUUAAAAAUAUGCAGUUCUUUGUCAAUGUAUUGUAUCCACUGCUUUAUUCCAUUUUGUAUAGGAUUUCAUUUAAUUGGUAAUUUCUAAGCUUUCAGAAUCAAAACACACUGGCAUAUUGGAUGAUCCUUUUGACGAUCUUUCCCAACGUGCUGACUUGAUUCAAAAUGCUUCGCCUGAAGGAAAUCCAAAAGAUGAGAAAGUUUACUACAUAAAACAACCUGAAAUCUGAAUUGCCUGAAUGUUGCUACUUGUGUUCUUCACCCAUUACUUUGCGAGCUGCCUGAAAAUGCAUAAGAAAAAAAGGAGUUUCAAACUUAUCUACAAACAAAGAUGUAACUGAUUCAAACAGCCAAAUGGCAGGAGAGAUGUGUGUUUUACUCAAUGUGGCAAUUCAAGCUGGAACACUUGCUUUUCCAUGCCUUCACCAGCUGCUAUAAGAGUAAGGGCACACUCACUAUGACACUCUUCUAUGGGUGACUUCUACUAGGAAGGAAUUUUUGAAGGAAACACUGGUGUAAGACUGAGUAGUUGAAUAUGCGUACAAAAAGGACAGCCCGCUGUAAGUAUCCAUAUGAAUACGAACCAGAUGUCGUACAAACUGGAGCAGCCCAAGAGGGGAGAGCAGGAUUUCCUAAUGAGCCAGUGACUCUCUUUGUUACCAAAGAUUCUUACAAGUAUAAGGUUGUCCUGCCGGUUGUCCCGAGAAACCUGUACAAGUUGUCAGUUGAGGUUGAGUAUAAUGGGAAAUUUGAGGUUGAAGGGAUGGUAUGUGAUGAUGAAAUAACAAGCAGUGUGGUGCCAAUUACGCUUAAUAGAAACACUCAACGGAUGUUUCCUCCACGUCACUUCACCAUCGGUUUCUAUUUGCCAGGACCUGCUAAUCCAGAGAGUUUAACAACCCGGUUACUCUCAGAUGGCGUUUUGGAAGGAGAAUUGCGUAAACCUGGGGUUGCUGAGGCUCCAUGAGAAUGAUUAUCAGUCCGAAUCGUCUGAUUAAUUGGACAUGAUUAGUUUGUAAUCAUAAUUGAAACCAACUUCUUAUUUUGGAAAAGCACCAGUUAUUUUCAAACUGAAACUCUGUCUGUAUCUUCCUUAACUGAGACUACCUGUUGCAUUUGUUUGUGUAAUGUGUAAUAUAGGGCUGAACUUUCUUGUUAA
Lycium barbarum (goji berry) is the source of this 1455-nucleotide RNA transcript. It is a transcript of the gene named peptidyl-prolyl cis-trans isomerase CYP59-like, with no coding region annotated. The transcript is spliced from 7 exons. Lineage: Eukaryota; Viridiplantae; Streptophyta; Magnoliopsida; Solanales; Solanaceae. The record is from RefSeq and is a predicted model, not a curated record.